AAUAGAUACCCGGGUAGUCCACGCCGUAAACGAUGAGUGCUAGGUGUUAGGGGGUUUCCGCCCCUUAAUGCUGAAGUUAACGCAUUAAGCACUCCGCCUGGGGAGUACGGCCGCAAGGCUGAAACUCAAAAGAAUUGACGGGGGCCCGCACAAGCGGUGGAGCAUGUGGUUUAAUUCGAAGCAACGCGAAGAACCUUACCAGGUCUUGACAUCCGCUGACAAUCUUGGAGACAAGACGUUCCCUUCGGGGACAGCGUGACAGGUGGUGCAUGGUUGUCGUCAGCUCGUGUCGUGAGAUGUUGGGUUAAGUCCCGCAACGAGCGCAACCCUUGAUUCUAGUUACCAGCAUUAAGUUGGGCACUCUAGAGUGACUGCCGGUGACAAACCGGAGGAAGGUGGGGAUGACGUCAAAUCAUCAUGCCCCUUAUGACCUGGGCUACACACGUGCUACAAUGGAUGGUACAAAGGGCAGCAAAGUCGCGAGGCUAAGCAAAUCCCAUAAAACCAUUCUCAGUUCAGAUUGCAGGCUGCAA
RNAcentral lists this ribosomal RNA (533 nucleotides) under uncultured bacterium. RNAcentral's name for it is "bacterial SSU rRNA". It matches the Rfam family "Bacterial small subunit ribosomal RNA", at positions 777 to 1310 of the family's 1533-position model. The record is from RNAcentral.